Molecule: transfer RNA, 72 nt
Filed under: Camelus ferus (Wild Bactrian camel)
Lineage: Eukaryota; Metazoa; Chordata; Mammalia; Artiodactyla; Camelidae
Rfam family: tRNA
About the family: Transfer RNA (tRNA) molecules are approximately 80 nucleotides in length. Their secondary structure includes four short double-helical elements and three loops (D, anti-codon, and T loops). Further hydrogen bonds mediate the characteristic L-shaped molecular structure. tRNAs have two regions of fundamental functional importance: the anti-codon, which is responsible for specific mRNA codon recognition, and the 3' end, to which the tRNAs corresponding amino acid is attached (by aminoacyl-tRNA synthetases). tRNAs cope with the degeneracy of the genetic code in two manners: having more than one tRNA (with a specific anti-codon) for a particular amino acid; and 'wobble' base-pairing, i.e. permitting non-standard base-pairing at the 3rd anti-codon position.
Source: Rfam by way of RNAcentral
GAGGGUAUAGCUCAGUCGUAGAGUGUGUGCUUAGCAUGUAUGAGGCCCUGGGUUCAAGCCCCAGUACCUCCA